Molecule: ribosomal RNA, 214 nt
Filed under: Vibrio tasmaniensis
Lineage: Bacteria; Pseudomonadati; Pseudomonadota; Gammaproteobacteria; Vibrionales; Vibrionaceae
Description: partial 16S ribosomal RNA
Rfam family: Bacterial small subunit ribosomal RNA
Source: RNAcentral
AAAUUGAAGAGUUUGAUCAUGGCUCAGAUUGAACGCUGGCGGCAGGCCUAACACAUGCAAGUCGAGCGGAAACGACACAUUGAAUCUUCGGAGGAUUUGUUGGGCGUCGAGCGGCGGACGGGUGAGUAAUGCCUAGGAAAUUGCCUUGAUGUGGGGGAUAACCAUUGGAAACGAUGGCUAAUACCGCAUAAUGCCUACGGGCCAAAGAGGGGGA